Molecule: transfer RNA, 73 nt
Filed under: Camelus bactrianus (Bactrian camel)
Lineage: Eukaryota; Metazoa; Chordata; Mammalia; Artiodactyla; Camelidae
Also listed under: 2 other names
Rfam family: tRNA
About the family: Transfer RNA (tRNA) molecules are approximately 80 nucleotides in length. Their secondary structure includes four short double-helical elements and three loops (D, anti-codon, and T loops).
Source: Rfam by way of RNAcentral
GAGGGUAUAGCUCGAGUGGUAGAGUGCAUGCUUAGCAUACAUGAGGUCCCAGGUUCAACCCCUAGUUACCUCC